RNAcentral lists this long non-coding RNA (897 nucleotides) under Anser brachyrhynchus (Pink-footed goose). RNAcentral describes it as "lncRNA (ENSABRG00000001800.1)". Lineage: Eukaryota; Metazoa; Chordata; Aves; Anseriformes; Anatidae. The record is from RNAcentral.
AUGAGGUUACGGAGGGAAAAAAAGAGGGAAAAAAACGAGAGAGAAGGUGCUAAAAACGCGCGUUCUUGCACCGCAGCAGAAAGGAGGAAUUUGGUGAACCGGCUGCAUUUCCAUCAGAGGGCAAAGCCUGGAAACGCGACGAUUUGGUCAAACACGUGGCUUAAAAGUUGUCUGGGGGCAGGACGAGGAUGCCAAACGCUGCUCUUCCCACCCGGGGAAGGUGGCGCCGGGAUAAUGGGAACACCCCGGGGCGGAUCGCGGGAGGGCGGCUUCGCCCCGCGCCGCUGCGAACCUCCGGCGACGCAGCAUGGCAGCGGCGAGAAGCCUCCGCGCCGAGGCCGACCGCUCGCAGCAUUUCCUCGCCGCCGCCUCCUGGCUCUGAAGAAACCCCGCGGGGCGAAAAUCCUCCGGGUUGAGGCUGUCGGUGGCAAUGGGCGAGCGGCUGCGGGCUCCGGCCGCGAAGCUUUUUGGGAAACACGAGGAGGAGGAGGCCGCCGGGGAGGAGAAAAUCCAAUCUCAUCUACAAUCUCUACGGAAAGUGUUGGCAGAGUUCCUGGAAUGGAGGGUGGCCGACGAGAAGCGCUGCCGGGACUACCUGGGGAACAUCCCCGCGACGCGCCCUGCAAAGCCCCACACCCGGUCAGGCCCGACCGCGCGGAUCCCGGGCAGGUUUGGAGACGAGCGAGGCCGAGCGGCGGCGCGUUGGCGGCGAGUUCGAGCGGCUGCGCCGGCUGCUGGACGAGAAGGAGCGCGGGGUGCUGCGGCGCCUGGCCGAGCUCGACGCUGCCUUCGAGGCCGCCCAGGCGGAAAAAGCCUCGCGGCUGGCCGAGGAGAUCGCGCGGCUCCACGGCCUCAUCGGGCAGCUGGAGGCCGGGCGCCUGCCCCGGGAUACCGUGA